AUUGAACGCUGGCGGCAGGCUUAACACAUGCAAGUCGAGCGGAGAUGAGGUGCUUGCACCUUAUCUUAGCGGCGGACGGGUGAGUAAUGCUUAGGAAUCUGCCUAUUAGUGGGGGACAACAUUCCGAAAGGAAUGCUAAUACCGCAUACGUCCUACGGGAGAAAGCAGGGGAUCUUCGGACCUUGCGCUAAUAGAUGAGCCUAAGUCGGAUUAGCUAGUGGGUGGGGUAAAGGCCUACCAAGGCGACGAUCUGUAGCGGGUCUGAGAGGAUGAUCCGCCAAACUGGGACUGAGACACGGCCCAGACGCCUACGGGAGGCAGCAGUGGGGAAUAUUGGACAAUGGGGGGAACCCUGAUCCAGCCAUGCCGCGUGUGUGAAGAAGGCCUUAUGGUUGUAAAGCACUUUAAGCGAGGAGGAGGCUACUGAGACUAAUACUCUUGGAUAGUGGACGUUACUCGCAGAAUAAGCACCGGCUAACUCUGUGCCAGCAGCCGCCGUAA
Molecule: ribosomal RNA, 501 nt
Filed under: uncultured bacterium
Lineage: Bacteria
Description: partial 16S ribosomal RNA
Rfam family: Bacterial small subunit ribosomal RNA
Source: RNAcentral